UACGGAGGGUGCAAGCGUUGCUCGGAAUUAUUGGGCGUAAAGGGUAGGUAGGUGGUCUCAUUUGUCUGGGGUGAAAUCCUUGAGCUUAACUCAAGAAGUGCCUCAGAAACGGUGAGACUGGAGUUCUGGAGAGGGUCGUGGAAUUCCCGGUGUAGCGGUGAAAUGCGUAGAGAUCGGGAGGAACACCAGAGGCGAAGGCGGCGACCUGGACCACAACUGACGCUGAGGCGCGAAAGCUAGGGGAGCAAACAGG
Molecule: ribosomal RNA, 253 nt
Filed under: uncultured bacterium
Lineage: Bacteria
Description: partial 16S ribosomal RNA
Rfam family: Bacterial small subunit ribosomal RNA
Source: RNAcentral